Molecule: long non-coding RNA, 250 nt
Filed under: Zostera marina
Lineage: Eukaryota; Viridiplantae; Streptophyta; Magnoliopsida; Alismatales; Zosteraceae
Description: long non-coding RNA (ZMAR_LNC005429)
Source: RNAcentral
CUAAUUAAAAUUGAUACGGCGACGCAAGCGGCGAGGGACCUGAUCCAGCGGGGAAGCACCGCGGCGGGGACACCUCCGACGUCGGCCACGAGGAGGGACAACAGAAGAAAAGACGGGCGGAAGAUCGCCGCCAGACCAUUCUUCAAAAAUGGAUUCCCUAGCAGCAACAGCAACACUCUGCCGCUCAACAAUGAGCUGGCGCAGAGAAGGAAGAUCCAAGGUUGACGACUGAGGAUCCAAAAUAUUCAAA